RNAcentral lists this ribosomal RNA (231 nucleotides) under Escherichia coli. RNAcentral's name for it is "partial 23S ribosomal RNA". It matches the Rfam family "Bacterial large subunit ribosomal RNA", at positions 2118 to 2348 of the family's 2925-position model. The record is from RNAcentral. Lineage: Bacteria; Pseudomonadati; Pseudomonadota; Gammaproteobacteria; Enterobacterales; Enterobacteriaceae.
UGAACAUUGAGCCUUGAUGUGUAGGAUAGGUGGGAGGCUUUGAAGUGUGGACGCCAGUCUGCAUGGAGCCGACCUUGAAAUACCACCCUUUAAUGUUUGAUGUUCUAACGUGGACCCGUGAUCCGGGUUGCGGACAGUGUCUGGUGGGUAGUUUGACUGGGGCGGUCUCCUCCUAAAGAGUAACGGAGGAGCACGAAGGUUGGCUAAUCCUGGUCGGACAUCAGGAGGUUA